Molecule: ribosomal RNA, 505 nt
Filed under: uncultured bacterium
Lineage: Bacteria
Description: partial 16S ribosomal RNA
Rfam family: Bacterial small subunit ribosomal RNA
Source: RNAcentral
GACGAACGCUGGCGGCGUGCCUAAUACAUGCAAGUAGAACGCACAGUUUAUACCGUAGCUUGCUACACCAUAGACUGUGAGUUGCGAACGGGUGAGUAACGCGUAGGUAACCUGCCUGGUAGCGGGGGAUAACUAUUGGAAACGAUAGCUGAUACCGCAUAAUAUUAAUUAUUGCAUGAUAAUUAAUUGAAAGGUGCAAUUGCACCACUACCAGAUGGACCUGCGUUGUAUUAGCUAGUAGGUGAGGUAACGGCUCACCUAGGCGACGAUACAUAGCCGACCUGGGAGGGUGGUCGGCCAAACUGGGACUGGGACACGGCCCAGACUCCUACGGGAGGCCGCAGUAGGGAAUCUUCGGCAAUGGACGAAAGUCUGACCGAGCAACGCCGCGUGAGUGAAGAAGGUUUUCGGAUCGUAAAGCUCUGUUGUAAGAGAAGAACGGGUGUGAGAGUGGAAAGUUCACACUGUGACGGUAUCUUACCAGAAAGAGACGGCUAACUACGUG